UUCCUACUUACUACAUAGUCACCAGGCGAAGUGCUCGUGCUCUUUCGGGAUCAUCCAAGCGACUAAUGAAUAGCUAGAAGCCUUAUCUGCCUGCCUAUCAGUAGGCGACAGAGACAAAAACCCGAACACGAUAUAUUUCAAUUUCAAAGUCUAUGUUCACAAUGACCCACGCAAAGUUUCAAUGACAUUCCAACUUGAUUUGAGCUGCAUAUCAACAAGUAGGGAACCGAACGCUUCAAGGCAUGGACAGGGAUAGGUCACCGACAUUUAUGCNCCAGGGAUAGGUCACCGACAUUUAUGCCCCAAACAUGACAUUUUUUUAUUUCAACGCCUUUCAUUUAUAAUAAAAAGCAUCCCUACAAAAUUUCGUGUGAAUCCGAAUUAAUUCGAGCGAGUUAUGGACGAUUUCGCAAAAUUAUGCAUUCCUGGGCC
RNAcentral lists this long non-coding RNA (432 nucleotides) under Lactuca sativa (garden lettuce). RNAcentral's name for it is "long non-coding RNA (LSAT_LNC010127)". Lineage: Eukaryota; Viridiplantae; Streptophyta; Magnoliopsida; Asterales; Asteraceae. The record is from RNAcentral.